This 254-nucleotide ribosomal RNA is filed under the name uncultured bacterium. Its description in RNAcentral is "partial 16S ribosomal RNA". It matches the Rfam family "Bacterial small subunit ribosomal RNA", at positions 524 to 776 of the family's 1533-position model. The record is from RNAcentral.
UACGUAGGGCGCAAGCGUUUGUCCGGAAUUAUUGGGCGUAAAGAGCUCGUAGGCGGCUUGUCACGUCGGUUGUGAAAGCCCGGGGCUUAACCCCGGGUCUGCAGUCGAUACGGGCAGGCUAGAGUGUGGUAGGGGAGAUCGGAAUUCCUGGUGUAGCGGUGAAAUGCGCAGAUAUCAGGAGGAACACCGGUGGCGAAGGCGGGUCUCUGGGCCGAUACUGACGCUGAGGGACGAAAGCUAGGGGAGCGAACGGG